GGGCCCGUAGCUUAGCCUGGUUGGAGCGCUCGACCUUGGACCGAGAGGUCGUGGGUUCGAAUCCCACCGGGCCCA
RNAcentral lists this transfer RNA (75 nucleotides) under archaeon. RNAcentral describes it as "tRNA-Gln". It matches the Rfam family "tRNA". From Rfam's summary of the family: Transfer RNA (tRNA) molecules are approximately 80 nucleotides in length. Their secondary structure includes four short double-helical elements and three loops (D, anti-codon, and T loops). Further hydrogen bonds mediate the characteristic L-shaped molecular structure. tRNAs have two regions of fundamental functional importance: the anti-codon, which is responsible for specific mRNA codon recognition, and the 3' end, to which the tRNAs corresponding amino acid is attached (by aminoacyl-tRNA synthetases). tRNAs cope with the degeneracy of the genetic code in two manners: having more than one tRNA (with a specific anti-codon) for a particular amino acid; and 'wobble' base-pairing, i.e. permitting non-standard base-pairing at the 3rd anti-codon position. The record is from RNAcentral.